CGCGUAGGCGGGAUGACAAGUCGGUCGUGAAAUCCCUCGGCUCAACUGAGGAACGUCGAUCGAUACUGCCAUUCUUGAGGAUUGCAGAGGAGACUGGAAUUCCCGGUGUAGCGGUGAAAUGUGUAGAGAUCGGGAGGAACACCGGUGGCGAAGGCGGGUCUCUGGGCAAUUCCUGACGCUGAGGCGCGAAAGCGUGGGGAGCAAACGGGAUUAGAUACCCCGGUAGUCCACGCUGUAAACGAUGACGACUAGGUGUGGGGGGGUUCAGUCCCCUCCGUGCCGCAGCUAACGCAUUAAGUCGUCCGCCUGGGGAGUACGGCCGCAAGGUUGAA
This 332-nucleotide ribosomal RNA is filed under the name uncultured bacterium. RNAcentral's name for it is "bacterial SSU rRNA". It matches the Rfam family "Bacterial small subunit ribosomal RNA", at positions 568 to 898 of the family's 1533-position model. The record is from RNAcentral.